GACGAACGCUGGCGGCGUGCCUAAUACAUGCAAGUAGAACGCUGAGGUUUGGUGUUUACACUAGACUGAUGAGUUGCGAACGGGUGAGUAACGCGUAGGUAACCUGCCUCAUAGCGGGGGAUAACUAUUGGAAACGAUAGCUAAUACCGCAUAAGAGUAAUUAACACAUGUUGGUUAUUUAAAAGGAGCAAUUGCUUCACUGUGAGAUGGACCUGCGUUGUAUUAGCUAGUUGGUGAGGUAAAGGCUCACCAAGGCGACGAUACGUAGCCGACCUGAGAGGGUGAUCGGCCACACUGGGACUGAGACACGGCCCAGACUCCUACGGGAGGCAGCAGUAGGGAAUCUUCGGCAAUGGACGGAAGUCUGACCGAGCAACGCCGCGUGAGUGAAGAAGGUUUUCGGAUCGUAAAGCUCUGUUGUUAGAGAAGAACGUUGGUAGGAGUGGAAAAUCUACCAAGUGACGGUAACUAACCAGAAAGGGACGGCUAACUACGUGCCAGCAGCCGCGGUAAUACGUAGGUCCCGAGCGUUGUCCGGAUUUAUUGGGCGUAAAGCGAGCGCAGGCGGUUCUUUAAGUCUGAAGUUAAAGGCAGUGGCUUAACCAUUGUACGCUUUGGAAACUGGAGGACUUGAGUGCAGAAGGGGAGAGUGGAAUUCCAUGUGUAGCGGUGAAAUGCGUAGAUAUAUGGAGGAACACCGGUGGCGAAAGCGGCUCUCUGGUCUGUAACUGACGCUGAGGCUCGAAAGCGUGGGGAGCAAACAGG
This 765-nucleotide ribosomal RNA is filed under the name uncultured Streptococcus sp. RNAcentral describes it as "bacterial SSU rRNA". It matches the Rfam family "Bacterial small subunit ribosomal RNA", at positions 28 to 776 of the family's 1533-position model. Lineage: Bacteria; Bacillati; Bacillota; Bacilli; Lactobacillales; Streptococcaceae. The record is from RNAcentral.